AGUCUCUAAUUAAUGCUUUGGCAAACAAAAAGUUUAAAGAAUGAAAGACACACACAAGAGACUUAGCAGUCAAGAGUAAAGUUAUUCUGCAUGUCAAUUUCUCAUCAUUGUUGUUCAAGUCCAGAGAUAGCCUAGGAAUAAUAUCCAUCUUAUUUAGUGACAGAGGUUUAUCCUGUUUCAGCAUUAGAUGGUGUAAAGUAUAUUUCAGCCCUCAAGAAGCCUUGUCCUCACAUCUUGAUUUUCCUUUUUUCUUUUCAAAGCUCCAGCCUUUCAUCUUAUGACAUUACAUAGACGUCCUUGUAUGUAUCUUCUUACUUGCUGUCUCAAUGUCCAAGCAUUUCUUGCACGGUGUAUCCCAACAUUCUUACUUCUCAAUUUUAUUUAAAGUUCAUGGGCUAGACCUACAUGAUAUGAAUGCGUUGUUUAUAGUUUAGAAUUUAAACAAUAUAAUCCUACAUUGACAGAUUCAAUGCAACAUUUUCCCAAAAGCAAGAUACCGAUUCAUUGAUGUUUGACACUAACGCACAUAUUAUUUUCAUUUGUUACAGAUUCAGUUGGUGAAUAUAUAGCUCAGGGAGCAUCAUCCCCUUUUUUUUUUUUUUUUUUUUUUCUAUCAGAUCCCAUAUUUAGUCAAAAGAAUUUCAAUGAAAUAUAUCACUUGCAUAUAUUGCAGCUUUGGAGGGGAAUGAAGCUGUGUAACGGUUAGCUUCAUUGCAGUUUGGGGACAUCUCAUAACUUAUUGUGUUCUUCUAUUCUUCGCAUUUUACAUGUCCUGUUUUAAUAUCCCUCUAUUCACACGAGGAAGGGCAUGUCAAAUUACACCAGGGGUUAGUCAGUAGUUUUCAUCCGGAUCAUCAUACCAGGGGAAGAUCACGCAUAAGUUGGGGAUAGUGCUAUUGGGUUUCCUCAAAGACAUGUACUAGCAGAUUAAUUAAAUCAGGGGUCAUUAGGGGGAAAAAACAAAAAAAUAAAAUAAAAUGACAUAUCAGUAGUGUACAAAACUCAGAAUCUGAAAAUUUCCUCCCAGAUGCAGAUUGACCGUAGUUGUUUGAUUUUUCAGUUUCCUAUCAGU
Ziziphus jujuba (common jujube) is the source of this 1072-nucleotide long non-coding RNA. RefSeq lists it as uncharacterized. Lineage: Eukaryota; Viridiplantae; Streptophyta; Magnoliopsida; Rosales; Rhamnaceae. The record is from RefSeq and is a predicted model, not a curated record. The transcript is spliced from 3 exons.